Molecule: ribosomal RNA, 253 nt
Filed under: uncultured bacterium
Lineage: Bacteria
Description: partial 16S ribosomal RNA
Rfam family: Bacterial small subunit ribosomal RNA
Source: RNAcentral
UACGUAGGUGGCAAGCGUUGUCCGGAUUUACUGGGCGUAAAGAGCGCGCAGGCGGUUGUCCAAGUCGAAUGUGAAAGCCCCCGGCUCAACUGGGGAGGGUCAUUCGAUACUGUUCGACUCGAAGGCAGGAGAGGGAAGUGGAAUUCCGGGUGUAGUGGUGAAAUGCGUAGAUAUCCGGAGGAACACCAGUGGCGAAGGCGACUUUCUGGCCUGUUCUUGACGCUGAGGCGCGAAAGCUAGGGGAGCAAACGGG